Molecule: ribosomal RNA, 492 nt
Filed under: uncultured bacterium
Lineage: Bacteria
Description: partial 16S ribosomal RNA
Rfam family: Bacterial small subunit ribosomal RNA (bases 54-492)
Source: RNAcentral
GGGGGGGGGGGGGGGGGGGGGGGGGGGGUGGGGGGGGGGGGGGGGGAGGGUGAGGGGUGGGGGUUAGGGGUGGAGCGUGGUGGGGGGGGGCGGGAGAGGGGGGAGUCUACGUGUUCGUGGGGGAGAGCGUAGGGAAACUUAGGCUGAUACCGCAUACGGACUGGGGGUGAAAGAAGGGGAUCUUCGGCCGUUGCGCGAUGGAAUGAUGCUAUGUCGGAUUAGGUAGUUGGCGAGGUAAAGGCCCACGCAGGCGACGAUCCCUAGCUGGUCUGAAAGGAUGAUCAGCCACACUGGAACUGAGACACGGUCCAGACUACUACGGGAGGCAGCAGUGGGGAAUCUUGGACAAUGGGCGCAAGCCUGAUCCAGCCAUACCGCGUGGGUGAAGAAGGCCUUCGGGUUGUAAAGCCCUUUUGUUGGGAAAGAAAAGCAGCAGGUUAAUACCCCGCUGUUCUGACGGUACCCAAAGAAUAAGCACCGGCUAACUUCGUG